UCACUACUUGCGUAGGCAGUCUGGCUAGAGUCCACGCCCUAAACUAUGUCAACUGGUUGUCGGGGAAGCAAUUCCUUGGUAACGAAGCUAACGCGUGAAGUUGACCGCCUGGGGAGUACGGCCGCAAGGUUAAAACUCAAAGGAAUUGACGGGGACCCGCACAAGCGGUGGAUUAUGUGGAUUAAUUCGAUGCAACGCGAAAAACCUUACCUACCCUUGACAUGUACGGAAGCCUCCAGAGAUGGAGGUGUGCCCGAAAGGGAGCCGUAACACAGGUGCUGCAUGGCUGUCGCCAGCUCGUGUCGUGAGAUGUUGGGUUAAGUCCCGCAACGAGCGCAACCCUUGCCAUUAGUUGCUACAUUCAGUUGAGCACUCUAAUGGGACUGCCGGUGACAAACCG
Molecule: unclassified non-coding RNA, 400 nt
Filed under: uncultured Gammaproteobacteria bacterium
Lineage: Bacteria; Pseudomonadati; Pseudomonadota; Gammaproteobacteria
Description: contains 16S-23S intergenic spacer region
Rfam family: Bacterial small subunit ribosomal RNA
Source: RNAcentral